UAUAUAUUUUUUUUUUUUUUUUUUUAUUCCAUUUUUAUUACAUUUUACCUCCCCUUUUAAGCUUUACAGAUUUUGCUGUGAUAAACAAAUUGAACCUUCGAAGAUCGAAAUAAUAUACUUAAGAUAUAAAGUUAUAAAAACGGUAAAAAUUUUUAUAAAAUAUAACAUACUGUAUGGUAAUGAAGACAACAAGUUGCUUUGUUUAUCUGUUGCAAUUGAUUUAUUAAAAGAAAAAUGUCAUGGAAUGAGUUUGUAUUUUUUACAAAAUGACAUCAAUAUGAGCAACUGGAGUUUUCUAGAACAAUUUAUGUUUCAAAAUAAAUUAAAUUUUGAGUUUUACAUGUUUAUUAAUAGUUUUUUAAAAAUAAACAGCUCUAAAGAUAUUAAAGAAAAAAUGAAAAAAAAAUAUGAACAAGAAAUAUAUCAAAUAAAAGAAAUAACAGGCUAUAAUAAUGAUCGUGUAAUUUUUAAAACUUUACGAAAAAAUAAUUUUGAUGUAUCUAAUACUGUGGACACAAUUUUAAAUAUGAGUAACAGCAAACUUCAUAGUAGUAUAGAAGAUGAAAAUAAUACGUUUGUUUUUUCUUCACAUAGUUUGGGUAAUAUUUCCAGUGACACACAGGUACGGACUAGUGACGGUAGUGACGUAAAUGGUACUGAUAUUAGUAGAAGUUGUAGUUAUAGUGGGAGUGGAAGUGUGAAUGGAAGUGUAAAUGGAAGUGGAAGUAAUAUUAGUGACAAAUCUGAUGUUGAUUACCAAGAUUCUGCUUUUUCAGAAGCUAACAUAUCAUCAUCGUCAUUAUUGGUAACAGAAAAAGGAAAAAAGAAAAACAUUUUAGAAAUAUUAAGAGAACGAGAGAGAAAAAGUAAAACUCAAAAAAAAAGAAAAAAGAAAUAUGAGUAUACUACAGAUCGUGUAUUAAAUGAUGAAAAUAAAAACAAAAUUUUAAAUGAAAUUAAUUGUUCAAGCAAUUCAGGAGAAUUAUUAUCAGACAUAUCAAUAAAUAAAAAUGAUGAAAAUAUUAUUACUCCAACUUCAUAUAGACAAAAUUAUAUGUAUGAGGAUGAAGAUAGUUCCGAAAAUGAAAAUACACAAAAUCAUACAUACAAAGGACAAAACAAACAGAAUGAACAAAGUUGUAGAUAUAACAGAAAAACAAGCAAUUAUAAACCACACGUUUUUGCACAACAACAAAGGGUUAUUACAAGAGUUGACAUCGAACAUGAUCGAUCAAAUUAUAUUCGUAAUGAUGUACAAAAUUAUAUUCGUAAUGAUGUACAAAAUUAUAGUCGUAAUGGUGUACAAAAUUAUAGUCGUAAUGGUGUACAAAAUUACAAUCGUAACGGAGCACAAAAUUACAGUCGAAAUAAUGAAUCAAAUAGUAAACCAAGAGGAAAUGUAAUGUCUAAAGCAGAAGGAAAAGAAGAUACUACGAACAAAAACAGCCAUUCGACAAAAGGUAUAAUGAAUACACACACAAAAAAAAAAAAAAAUAUAUAUAUGCAUACU
This 1510-nucleotide long non-coding RNA is filed under the name Piliocolobus tephrosceles (Ugandan red Colobus). RNAcentral's name for it is "lncRNA (ENSPTEG00000002173.1)". The record is from RNAcentral. Lineage: Eukaryota; Metazoa; Chordata; Mammalia; Primates; Cercopithecidae.